This 490-nucleotide ribosomal RNA is filed under the name uncultured bacterium. RNAcentral describes it as "partial 16S ribosomal RNA". It matches the Rfam family "Bacterial small subunit ribosomal RNA", at positions 30 to 507 of the family's 1533-position model. The record is from RNAcentral.
AUUGAACGCUGGCGGCAGGCCUAACACAUGCAAGUCGAACGGUAACAGGAAGCAGCUUGCUGCUUUGCUGACGAGUGGCGGACGGGUGAGUAAUGUCUGGGAAACUGCCCGAUGGAGGGGGAUAACUACUGGAAACGGUAGCUAAUACCGCAUAACGUCGCAAGACCAAAGAGGGGGACCUUAGGGCCUCUUGCCAUCGGAUGUGCCCAGAUGGGAUUAGCUAGUAGGUGGGGUAACGGCUCACCUAGGCGACGAUCCCUAGCUGGUCUGAGAGGAUGACCAGCCACACUGGAACUGAGACACGGUCCAGACUCCUACGGGAGGCAGCAGUGGGGAAUAGUGCACAAUGGGCGCAAGCCUGAUGCAGCCAUGCCGCGUGUAUGAAGAAGGCCUUCGGGUUGUAAAGUACUUUCAGCGGGGAGGAAGGGAGUAAAGUUAAUACCUUUGCUCAUUGACGUUACCCGCAGAAGAAGCACCGGCUAACUCCGUG